This 854-nucleotide ribosomal RNA is filed under the name Propionibacteriales bacterium. RNAcentral describes it as "bacterial SSU rRNA". It matches the Rfam family "Bacterial small subunit ribosomal RNA", at positions 54 to 923 of the family's 1533-position model. Lineage: Bacteria; Bacillati; Actinomycetota; Actinomycetes; Propionibacteriales. The record is from RNAcentral.
CAUGCAAGUCGAACGAUGAUCUGCUCUUCGGAGUGGUGAUUAGUGGCGAACGGGUGAGUAACACGUGAGUAACCUGCCCUCCACUUUGGGAUAACUGUGGGAAACUUCAGCUAAUACCGGAUAUUGAAUACUGCUCGCAUGGGUGGUGUUUGAAAGAUUGUUUGGUGGGGGAUGGACUCGCGGCCUAUCAGCUUGUUGGUGGGGUAAUGGCCUACCAAGGCGAUGACGGGUAGCCGGCCUGAGAGGGCGACCGGCCACACUGGGACUGAGAUACGGCCCAGACUCCUACGGGAGGCAGCAGUGGGGAAUAUUGCACAAUGGGCGAAAGCCUGAUGCAGCAACGCCGCGUGCGGGAUGACGGCCUUCGGGUUGUAAACCGCUUUCACCAGGGGCGAAUUUGACGGUACCUGGAGAAGAAGCACCGGCUAACUACGUGCCAGCAGCCGCGGUGAUACGUAGGGUGCGAGCGUUGUCCGGAUUUAUUGGGCGUAAAGAGCUCGUAGGUGGUUUGUUGCGUCGGAAGUGAAAACACAGGGCUUAACUCUGUGCUUGCUUUCGAUACGGGCAGACUUGAGGAAGGUAGGGGAGAACGGAAUUCCUGGUGGAGCGGUGGAAUGCGCAGAUAUCAGGAGGAACACCAGUGGCGAAGGCGGUUCUCUGGACCUUUCCUGACGCUGAGGAGCGAAAGCGUGGGGAGCAAACAGGCUUAGAUACCCUGGUAGUCCACGCCGUAAACGGUGGGCACUAGGUGUGGGGGACAUUCCACGUUCUCCGUGCCGUAGCUAACGCAUUAAGUGCCCCGCCUGGGGAGUACGGCCGCAAGGCUAAAACUCAAAGGAAUUGACGGGGGCCCC